AACAUAAAUCAUUAUUUGAAUAAACUGCAUUAAGAAAACAAAAGGGGAAAUAAAUGAGUUCUAAAACUUCUCUUUACUGAGUUUUGUUUUGUCUCCCCUCCAAGAUCUCUCCAAGUCUGAAUAAUGAUGUUAGAAAACUUGCAAAACCUAAAUAUAGUCUAAACACACAAAAAGGACUUAUUUGAAAAUAGUGGAAACUUUGGGCCAAUCUUCAAUCUUUUGAAAUUUCUGAAAAAAUCCUCUGGAACUCUCGUCUGCGAUCAGUGUCAACCGACACUCUGUUGAAAGAGGCAAUCCGACUUGGUGUUUCAGCUGCAAUUCUCUUUAUACUCAAGUUCUCCAAAAUCUCCAGUUAAUCUUGUCCAAAACAUAUAUAAAUCUAAAAUCACUCAUAAAGACUCGAAACAUACGUAAAAACUCUAAAAUGGAUGUAUAUCAUGGUCAAAAACCCAUAAAACUAUGAUAUAUCACACACCAAAGGAAGAUGAUGGGCACUCAA
Molecule: long non-coding RNA, 499 nt
Filed under: Brassica napus (rape)
Lineage: Eukaryota; Viridiplantae; Streptophyta; Magnoliopsida; Brassicales; Brassicaceae
Description: long non-coding RNA (BNAP_LNC013206)
Source: RNAcentral